UCUCUUUCUCUCUCUAAAUUUUGGGAACCCCCUUCUCUCUCUAAAAUUUGAAAACCACAUAUAUAUAUAUAUAAAUAUAUAAACCCUCUCUCAAUCUCUAAAUUUUGAAAACCCUGUCACUCUCUCUCUAAAUUUUGAAAACCCUGUCACUCUCUCUCUAAAUUUUGAAAACCUGUCACUCUCUCUUUAAAUUUGAAAACGCCCCCCUCAUCCCCCUCUCUCUCUCUGGAGUUCUAAUAUAUGGAAUUCUCAUUUUACAGGAUGAUAGG
This 269-nucleotide long non-coding RNA is filed under the name Amborella trichopoda. RNAcentral's name for it is "long non-coding RNA (ATRI_LNC001765)". The record is from RNAcentral. Lineage: Eukaryota; Viridiplantae; Streptophyta; Magnoliopsida; Amborellales; Amborellaceae.